Molecule: ribosomal RNA, 406 nt
Filed under: uncultured bacterium
Lineage: Bacteria
Description: bacterial SSU rRNA
Rfam family: Bacterial small subunit ribosomal RNA
Source: RNAcentral
GUGUCAGCGCGGUAAUACGUAGGGUGCGCGCGUUAAUCGGAAUUACUGGGCGUAAAGCGUGCGCAGGCGGUUAUAUAAGUCAGAUGUGAAAUCCCCGGGCUCAACCUGGGACCUGCAUUUGAGACUGUAUAGCUAGAGUACGGUAGAGGGGGAUGGAAUUCCGCGUGUAGCAGUGAAAUGCGUAGAUAUGCGGAGGAACACCGAUGGCGAAGGCAAUCCCCUGGACCUGUACUGACGCUCAUGCACGAAAGCGUGGGGAGCAAACAGGAUUAGAUACCCUGGUAGUCCACGCCCUAAACGAUGUCAACUGGUUGUUGGGAAUUCACUUUCUCAGUAACGAAGCUAACGCGUGAAGUUGACCGCCGGGGGAGUACGGCCGCAAGGUUGAAACUUAAGAAAUUGACGG